ACCCACAUACCUAAUGUAAGUGCUGAGUUCUUACCUCAGUAAUGUGUUUAUAACACUGUGAGUU
RNAcentral lists this transfer RNA (64 nucleotides) under Paruterina candelabraria. RNAcentral describes it as "tRNA-Lys". The record is from RNAcentral. Lineage: Eukaryota; Metazoa; Platyhelminthes; Cestoda; Cyclophyllidea; Paruterinidae.